UGGGGGGGUUGGUUGUGUCCGUCCUGAACUCUCAUUUAAGUAGUUUCAGAAAUGGAUCCACUGAGCACAUACAACGGCGUCAACAUUUCUCUCAUGAAGGCAACGGAGACUCUGAACACAGGUGUUCAUUACAUGGAUGGGGAGUGUUCAUCACAUGGGUGGGGACUGCAGUUUCCCAUGAAACGCACCUAAACCAGGAGAAAAUGACACAUGAUACACCUAACUGCAGUAGCAGCACUUCCACGAUGAGAAGGGCACAACUACGAGAGUGCAUGUGAGAUCAGAGAACCCACCACUGUCCAUCCUGAGUGUCCUUCCCUCUGCUGUGACCCCUACUCCCAGGGAGGACUCAGAGAAGUUUACAAAAGCUCCAAGUGAAAUGCAAAUCAAGAGCAAAGCCUAAAUUUAAUUCAUUCGAUGUUCUGUGCACUACUAGACAGAUGAAGUUCGGAUAAAGGACAGGUCUGCAUAUCAAGGCCUUGAGUUUCACCCAGCAACUGGAUGAUGUGAUGUGGGGUCUCAGAAAGAAGACGAUCCCUCUGCUGGAUGGCAGUGUCGUCAGACAGACUGUCACAGAGAUGUGAUGCUCACCUACGAGCCAUUCAGGACCUAGAAGAAACGGCUGUUAGACGUUGUGUGUGUCUAAUUCCAAUGUGAGCAAUUCACUUAUUCUUGCUGGUGAAACAAGCUGCUGGAACAGUAAGAUUUAUAGCAUAGCUUUUUCCCCCUCAAGAUCCUAAAACUGGAUCUGGCUUAUCCAGAGAUCCCUGAAAUCUGGAAGUCCGUGGCUGAUUCUGCAGAGAGGUUGGAGUUGAAAGGUGCACCCCCAUGACAAGGACUGGUUUCAGAUCUGGGUCUAGAUUUCAGCAUUUCCUGAGCUCCACCCGUGAUCAUGGCAGCUCUCUCUUAUUCACAUGUGGCACUGAUUCUGACAUCAACACCAAGCACAUUCUGAGGUCACCAAAGUUCCCCAGUUUCCCUGGAAGACUGAAAAGCAGUCCUGGGAGAAGACAGCUCUCCAGAACCCGGGGACUGAGGGCUUGCUUGUCAAGUCAGCUGCAGACAGAAUCUAGAGACAGACCCAGCAGAGGGCUGAGAGGAAGCAGUUAUGGACACACACAACAUGGUAAAAUCUCUAAAACUGGAGACAGUAAAAGCAUCAGUAAAUAGAGGAUUUUCCUUUUUCUUAUAGACAGGUAUGAAUAAGGUUAAGUAUUGGGUUAAGUUCGUCCAGGUUAUUCCCAAUGGGUAAGUGGGUGGUGGCCCCCGCAGGACGGGCCCAGACACAUAAGCCAUUCAAAGGAUGCUCAACAGGUAACACAGGGAAGCCUGCGGGCUUGAGGCAGCUGUUUGCUAGACGGCGAUAUCUGAGUAAGGAUCUUAGUCCAAACGUUUAUGAGCAAAUGCGCAGGGAUUUCUUUGGUGCAGUUAUAACAUUACACUGAGACAGCUGCAGUUCCCAAAGGUAUGUCAUUCUUUUGAAAAGAAUAAGUUUCAUAAGAAUAAUGCCAUUUCUUGUUCUGAAGAUUAUAUAACCAGGAACAUAAAAGGAUGCAGAGACAAGCGUGGGCCCCUUGAUACUGAGCAUAAACCAGGCCUGAGCCACAGGACAGGCAUGCAGUUAUCAGGGAUGCCCGGCCCCGUCCCUUCCUUAGACGGCCACAUUAAUGACUCAUCUAUUAGCCAUUAGAUGUGUGCGCACGCACAUGUGCACAUGUGUCCAGAGACAGGGAGGGAAAGAGGAAAGGGAAAAGAAAGCGAAGGUUCCGGCCUGCCCCACCUCCACUCAGAUCACAGCAGGUCCCUUGAACAUGGGGACCAGAGACCGCCCUGGAGCUUCUGCACUGCACUGUCCAGCGCUGAAGACACAGACCGCUUUUCCAGAGAACUCAUCAGACUUCCUGAACUGCACAUUUCACAACAUUCAGAAUGCUGACAGACCCCAAUUUCCUCCUGAGACACCACUUCCUACUGCCCUUCAGGAGGCCAUCAGCCACUCACUGCUGACCUUCACACAGAUGCCUCCAUUUGACACGUUUGUCACAACCACCAGCUUCUCAAGAACCCUCACAACCCCAGCGGCUCCUGUGUGUUGUCUGCAGGCGAGUGCUCCCCAUCCUAGAGGACUACUUCGCCUAAGAAGGGCAGCCCCGACUGGAUGAUGGUGGGAGACAAGUCGUCGUAGCUGUUCAUCAGGCUGAUGUCUCCAGAGGUGAAGCUGACGGUCACCAGGAACACCCUGCUCUCUCUGAAAGGCAAGUUGCAAUCUCCUUCAAAUUGCCCCACUGCUUCUGAGGAGGGGAACUGGUUAGAAUGUAGCUGGGAACUAAUGCUGCUCUUAGACUUCAUCUGGACGUGCUCCAUCACCUUGGUCUCUGGACCCUAUUUCUCCCCUAGUAAGAGGGGAAAAGCAAGUGUGCAUUCAACGCAGUCCCCAGUCCUCACAACACCCCAGGGACGGAAACAGCCGUCAGUCUCUUUCUGCGUCUAGGAAAACCAGUGGAGGGCCAAGCCACCAGACCAGUGAUUCUGCGAAAAGGGAUGGCAGCGAGGUGACGGUCCGUCCAGGUCAGAGACUGGGUCGGCUCUGCCCUGCAUUCUGCUGAGAACCCCGCCCGGAAGGCGGGGUAGUUCCAGGACAUGCUGAGGAUGCCGUCCGACUCGUGCAGGAGGAUGUGGGCCAGCAUCCGGCCGUGGCAGUCCAUGACGAUCACCUGCCCAUCGGCGGUGCCAAACAGUACCUGCAGCAGAGGAGCGGAACCCCUGAUGGGCGGGCAGCGAGGACAGCGGUUGUGGCCCCACCCCACCUCAACGUAUUCACAGGAGAGAAUACCUGAGAACUGGAAGAAGAGAUCAGUUAAGCAAUAGGGAUACACAAAGCAUAAAGUGGCGGAAACUUAGCUGGCUCUUACUAAGAGAAUUUUAGGCCUCUAUUAGCGAAAGGGGACUAGUGCUGUAAUACAUAUGUUAUGUGGACGCUUUCAAAUAAUGUCAAAAUUACCAUGUCACAUUUUGUGGGUUGCUUUUUUUUUUUUUUCAACUGGAGGAGCGGGGGUCAAGAAGAAGGUAAUAUUCUCUUAUUUUUCUUUAAAAAAAAAAAAAAGCAGUAGCAGAGGAUCAUCGUAUGCAAGUGUAUGUAAGCAGGUUUAUCUUGUGUUCCAUUUCACUGAGAAUAGUAAUGGGGUUGAUGUAUUUAAGUAAUAAUGUUAUAGUAAAUUAAUGGUAUUAAUAUAUUAAGUGCUUACUUUGUACUAAGCACAAUUUUAACAAACUUUACCUCAUCGACUGUCUGAAUAAUUCUGGCAGCUAAGCCCCAGCACUGCUGGCAUGAAGCUGAGAUGCCUUGUGUACUGAGG
Long non-coding RNA from Dama dama (fallow deer), 3356 nucleotides. RefSeq lists it as uncharacterized. The transcript is spliced from 5 exons. The record is from RefSeq and is a predicted model, not a curated record. Lineage: Eukaryota; Metazoa; Chordata; Mammalia; Artiodactyla; Cervidae.